Non-coding RNA from Mycena vulgaris, 92 nucleotides. NCBI's taxonomy places the organism in Eukaryota, Fungi, Basidiomycota, Agaricomycetes, Agaricales, Mycenaceae. The record is from the annotation of a GenBank genome assembly.
UCAGACAUGGUGUAGCGGGAACACAGCCCCUUAUCACAAUCAAGGUGCAUGAGUUCUAGAGGUAGUUCAGGGUCCGAAUCCCUGUGUCUGAA